AUGGAGAGACUUGUUAAUGUUCAUUACAUGGACAAGGAGGCAUUCUUGAGUAACAAUGCCGACGCGGGUGAGGAACCAUUGGUUUUUGAUACAAGCCCUAGCUAUGAGGAUGUUGCUACAAAAGUGAGACAAGUCUUGAAGUGGAUGGACACCAAUGUUGAUGUUAAGUUAACAGGAAGGUAUGAUGUUGGAGUUGGAGCCAAAUCUCGCUUGAAAAGUAUGCCUAUCACCUCGGAUUUGCAUUGGGAUGUAUACAAGGAAAAAGUAUCCCAAUCGGAAGACAAGUCACUUGAAUUGUUUGCCACCAAGGUUGAAUCUCCUCGGUUUACCUUUGAUUUGAACCGGCAUGUCUCUUCCCCAAUGGAUGACAUUGUGGUUGAGUUGUAUGCCCCCAAUGCUUCUAGCCAACCACCAACUAGCCAA
RNAcentral lists this ribosomal RNA (423 nucleotides) under Triticum aestivum (bread wheat). Its description in RNAcentral is "partial small subunit ribosomal RNA". Lineage: Eukaryota; Viridiplantae; Streptophyta; Magnoliopsida; Poales; Poaceae. The record is from RNAcentral.